AGUGGCACAGUUAUGGGCACCUGCAUGGCCCCACAAUAUGCCAAUAUUUUUAUGGCCGACCUGGAACAACGCUUCCUCAGCUCUCGUCCACUCACGCCCCUUCUCUACCUACGCUACAUUGAUGACAUCUUCAUCUUCUGGACCCAUGGGAAGGAAUGUCUGGAAAAAUUCCACUACGAUUUCAACAGCUUCCACCCCACCAUCAACCUCAGCCUGGACCAAUCUACAUGGGAGGUCCACUUCCUAGACACCACGGUGCAAAUAAGUGAUGGUCACAUUACCACCACCCUAUACCGAAAACCUACCGACCGCUAUGCCUACCUUCAUGCCUCCAGCUUCCAUCCCGGGCACAUCACACGAUCCUUUGUCUACAGCCAAGCUCUGAGGUACAACCACAUCUGCUCUAACCCCUCAGACAGAGACCAACACCUACAAAAUCUCCACCAAGCAUUCUCAAAACUACAAUACCCGCACGAGGAAAUAAGGAAACAGAUCAACAGAGCCAGACGUGUACCCAGAAGCCUCCUACUGCAAGACAAACCCAAGAGAGAAACCAACAGGACUCCACUGGCCAUCACAUACAGCCCCCAGCUAAAACCCCUCCAACGCAUCAUCAAGGAUCUACAACCCAUCCUGGACAAUGAUCCCACACUUUCACAGGCCUUGGGUGGCAGGCCAAUCCUUGCCCACAGACAACCUGCCAACCUGAAACAUAUUCUCACCAGUAACUGCACACCACACCAUAAUAACUCUAGCUCAGGAACCAAUCCAUGCAACAAACCUCGAUGCCAACUCUGCCCACAUAUCUACACCAGCGACACCAUCACAGGACCUAACCAGAUCAGCCACACCAUCACUGGUUCAUUCACCUGCACAUCCACCAAUGUAAUAUACGCCAUCAUAUGCCAGCAAUGCCCCUCUGCUAUGUACAUCGGCCAAACUGGACAGUCGCUACGGAAAAGGAUAAACGGACACAAAUCAGAUAUUAGGAAUGGCAAUAUACAAAAACCUGUAGGAGAGCACUUCAACCUCCCUGGCCACACUAUAGCAGACCUUAAGGUGGCCAUCCUGCAGCAAAAAAACUUCAGGACCAGACUUCAAAGAGAAACUGCUGAGCUUCAGUUCAUCUGCAAAUUUGACACCAUCAGCUCAGGAUUAAACAAAGACUGUGAAUGGCUUGCCAAUUACAGAACCAGUUUCUCCUCCCUUGGUUUUCACACCUCAACUGCUAGAACAGGGCCUCAUCCUCCCUGAUUGAACUACCUCAUUAUCUCUAGCUUGCCUG
Gopherus agassizii (Agassiz's desert tortoise) is the source of this 1285-nucleotide long non-coding RNA. The record is from Ensembl. Lineage: Eukaryota; Metazoa; Chordata; Testudines; Testudinidae.